UACGAAGGGGGCUAGCGUUGCUCGGAAUGACUGGGCGUAAAGGGCGCGUAGGCGGAUGGCACAGUCAGAUGUGAAAUUCCCGGGCUUAACCUGGGGGCUGCAUUUGAUACGUAUUGUCUAGAGUGAGGAAGAGGGUUGUGGAAUUCCCAGUGUAGAGGUGAAAUUCGUAGAUAUUGGGAAGAACACCGGUGGCGAAGGCGGCAACCUGGUCCUUGACUGACGCUGAGGCGCGAAAGCGUGGGGAGCAAACAGG
RNAcentral lists this ribosomal RNA (253 nucleotides) under uncultured bacterium. RNAcentral describes it as "partial 16S ribosomal RNA". It matches the Rfam family "Bacterial small subunit ribosomal RNA", at positions 524 to 776 of the family's 1533-position model. The record is from RNAcentral.